This 465-nucleotide ribosomal RNA is filed under the name uncultured bacterium. RNAcentral's name for it is "partial 16S ribosomal RNA". It matches the Rfam family "Bacterial small subunit ribosomal RNA", at positions 28 to 507 of the family's 1533-position model. The record is from RNAcentral.
GACGAACGCUGGCGGCGUGCUUAACACAUGCAAGUCGAGCGGUAAGGCCCCUUCGGGGGUACACGAGCGGCGAACGGGUGAGUAACACGUGAGCAGUCUGCCCAUCACAUCGGGAUAACUCCGGGAAACCGAAGCUAAUACCGAAUACGACCACCUCCGGCAUCGGAUGGUGGUGGAAAGUUCCGGCGGUGAUGGAUGAGCUCGCGGCCUAUCAGCUUGUUGGUGGGGUAACGGCCCACCAAGGCUUCGACGGGUAGCCGGCCUGAGAGGGUGACCGGCCACACUGGGACUGAGACACGGCCCAGACUCCUACGGGAGGCGGCAGUGGGGAAUAUUGGACAAUGGGCGAAAGCCUGAUCCAGCAACGCCGCGUGAGGGAUGACGGCCUUCGGGUUGUAAACCUCUUUCAGCAGGGACGAAGCGCAAGUGACGGUACCUGCAGAAGAAGCACCGGCCAACUACGUG